CCUACGGGUGACAGCAGUGGGGAAUAUUGCACAAUGGGGGAAACCCUGAUGCAGCGACGCCGCGUGAGUGAAGAAGUAAUUCGUUAUGUAAAGCUCUAUCAGCAGGGAAGAAAAUGACGGUACCUGAGUAAGAAGCCCCGGCUAACUACGUGCCAGCAGCCGCGGUAAUACGUAGGGGGCAAGCGUUAUCCGGAUUUACUGGGUGUAAAGGGAGCGUAGACGGCAGUGCAAGUCUGGAGUGAAAGGCGGGGGCUCAACCUGCGUCCGCCGUUGAAACUGGCGUUCUUGAGUGGGCGAGAAGUACGCGGAAUGCGUGGUGUAGCGGUGAAAUGCAUAGAUAUCACGCAGAACCCCGAUUGCGAAGGCAGCGUACCGGCGCCCGACUGACGCUGAAGCACGAAAGCGUGGGUAUCGAACAGGAUUAGAUACCCUUGUAGUC
This 439-nucleotide ribosomal RNA is filed under the name uncultured bacterium. RNAcentral describes it as "partial 16S ribosomal RNA". It matches the Rfam family "Bacterial small subunit ribosomal RNA", at positions 338 to 795 of the family's 1533-position model. The record is from RNAcentral.